Molecule: unclassified non-coding RNA, 404 nt
Filed under: soil metagenome
Description: partial contains 5.8S ribosomal RNA, internal transcribed spacer 2, and large subunit ribosomal RNA
Rfam family: 5.8S ribosomal RNA (bases 1-122)
Source: RNAcentral
GAUGAAGAACGUAGCAAAAUGCGAUACUUGGUGUGAAUUGCAGAAUCCCGUGAACCAUCGAGUUUUUGAACGCAAGUUGCGCCCGAAGCCUUUUGGCCGAGGGCACGUCUGCCUGGGCGUCACGCAUCGCGUCGCCCCCCACAAUUCUCCGUAAAGGGAACAUGUGUUUUGGGGGCGGAUAUUGGUCUCCCGUGCUCAUGGCGUGGUUGGCCGAAAUAGGAGUCCUUUCGAUGGACGCACGAACUAGUGGUGGUCGUAAAAACCCUCGUCUUUUGUUUCGUGCUGUUGCUCGCAAGGUAAACUCUUUAAAAACCCCAAUGUGUCGUCUCUUGACGACGCUUCGCCCGCGACCCCAGGUCAGGCGGGACUACCCGCUGAGUUUAAGCAUAUCAAUAAGCGGAGGA